CAUGCUUGACUGUAGAUGCCA
RNAcentral lists this non-coding RNA (21 nucleotides) under Arabidopsis thaliana (thale cress). Lineage: Eukaryota; Viridiplantae; Streptophyta; Magnoliopsida; Brassicales; Brassicaceae. The record is from RNAcentral.